RNAcentral lists this non-coding RNA (45 nucleotides) under Trichobilharzia regenti. The record is from RNAcentral. Lineage: Eukaryota; Metazoa; Platyhelminthes; Trematoda; Strigeidida; Schistosomatidae.
AUCCGGCUGACGAGUCUCAAAUAGGACAAAGUGAGCGUCGUGGAU